This 29-nucleotide non-coding RNA is filed under the name Rattus norvegicus (Norway rat). Lineage: Eukaryota; Metazoa; Chordata; Mammalia; Rodentia; Muridae. The record is from RNAcentral.
UUCUUGCUUUGUCUUCAUGGAUGGGAUCC